Molecule: ribosomal RNA, 484 nt
Filed under: uncultured bacterium
Lineage: Bacteria
Description: partial 16S ribosomal RNA
Rfam family: Bacterial small subunit ribosomal RNA
Source: RNAcentral
AUUGAACGCUGGCGGCAGGCCUAACACAUGCAAGUCGAGCGGAUGAAGGGAGCUUGCUCCUGGAUUCAGCGGCGGACGGGUGAGUAAUGCCUAGGAAUCUGCCUGGUAGUGGGGGAUAACGUCCGGAAACGGGCGCUAAUACCGCAUACGUCCUGAGGGAGAAAGUGGGGGAUCUUCGGACCUCACGCUAUCGGAUGAGCCUAGGUCGGAUUAGCUAGUUGGUGGGGUAAAGGCCUACCAAGGCGACAAUCCGUGACUGGUCUGAGAGGAUGAUCAGUCACACUGGAACUGAGACACGGUCCAGACUCCUACGGGAGGCAGCAGUGGGGAAUAUUGGACAAUGGGCGAAAGCCUGAUCCAGCCAUGCCGCGUGUGUGAAGAAGGUCUUCGGAUUGUAAAGCACUUUAAGUUGGGAGGAAGGGCAGUAAGUUAAUACCUUGCUGUUUUGACGUUACCGACAGAAUAAGCACCGGCUAACUUCGUG